AGAGUUUGAUCCUGGCUCAGGACGAACGCUGGCGGCGUGCUUAACACGUGCAAGUCGAGGGCGUGCAGCAAUGCACGACCGGCGAACGGGUGCGUAACACGUGAGCGACCUUCCGUCUUCUGGGGGAUAGCCGGCCCAAACGGCCGGGUAAUACCGCAUACGCUCUUUUGAUCGCAUGGUCGAGAGAGGAAACUUCCGGGGGAGGACGAGGGGCUCGCGGCCUAUCAGCUAGUUGGUGGGGUAAUGGCCCACCAAGGCGACGACGGGUAGCUGGUCUGAGAGGAUGGCCAGCCACAUUGGGACUGAGAGACGGCCCAGACUCCUACGGGAGGCAGCAGUGGGGAAUCUUGCGCCAUGGCCGAAAAGGCUGACGCAGCGACGCCGCGUGUGGGAGGAAGCUCUUCGGGGUG
Molecule: ribosomal RNA, 410 nt
Filed under: uncultured soil bacterium
Lineage: Bacteria
Description: bacterial SSU rRNA
Rfam family: Bacterial small subunit ribosomal RNA
Source: RNAcentral